Molecule: non-coding RNA, 85 nt
Organism: Penicillium canescens
Lineage: Eukaryota; Fungi; Ascomycota; Eurotiomycetes; Eurotiales; Aspergillaceae
Source: the annotation of a RefSeq genome assembly
AGAGGGGUCCCACGCGUUGGUUUGUGGGUUGAGCUGUAAACUCAAAAGCUAUAGGCUAUCGAAGGUUCGAUUCCUUUCCACUCUA